Long non-coding RNA from Poecilia latipinna (sailfin molly), 3530 nucleotides. RefSeq lists it as uncharacterized. NCBI's taxonomy places the organism in Eukaryota, Metazoa, Chordata, Actinopteri, Cyprinodontiformes, Poeciliidae. The record is from RefSeq and is a predicted model, not a curated record. The transcript is spliced from 2 exons.
ACUCGCUAAAACAUUGUGGUGUUAAAAUAAAGGACUUUCACCACAGAGAUGCAGAGAGACGGAGGAGAAAACAGCAGAUUUAUUCAGCCGCCAUGAGACAUUUAUUACAUAAGGAGAAUAAAGUCACUCUGUGAGUCCGUUCCUGCCAAGGAGGAACAGGUUACAUAACAAAAUAAAAACUGAAAAUAAAAAAUAAAAAAUAUUACCAUCAGUUACACACAAAUCCCCCAUUCAAAAUACAAUAAAAUCACUGCAUAUGAAGGCAUGUAAAGUAAUCAAGGGAGAAAUUUGAUGUAUUUUGAUGAUAUGCUCAACUGACAACUGAGAUUUGAUAAUGAUAAAAAAAAUCAUAUUAUAUUUCAACAGUUUUGCCUUACAGCUGAUUUUUUAAAUAACAAUACAACCUUCUUUUUGAUGUUUGUUGAGCUCAGAUAAAGUCUCAAAGUUUAACUUGGUGAGGAAUAAAAUGUUUUAAUUUGUUCCUCAGAUCUACCAAAAACCAAAUUAGCAGACUGUCACUGGAACAACUUUUAAUAUCUGUUUUGUCAGAGCUUGACAUUAUGACUGUAAAACAUAUUGUAAUAAGAGUUUCAUAUUGGCCAAUAUCGCUAAUUAUUGAUUAGAUUUUUGUAUUAAAUAUCUAUCCUCUUUUAUCCACAGUUUCACUCCACCUCGUUGUUUUUUUAUUUUUCAGCAGUUAUGAGGCGCAGUGGGGGAACCUUAAACUGCUACUGCGUGGUUACUCAGCAGGCUGUUGCUAAGCAACCAAAGAAUGAGUGAGUUGCUAGGCAACCAAUGAGCAGCGAGUCAAUUGAUUCCACCAACUUAUCUUAACUGGCUGUUAGAGGUUGAGCUCCUGAAGUCUUUCCUCUGCCUACAUCCCCCAGAAUGCUGUGAGGUUAUACUGAAUAUUGUAUUAAAUGUAUUAUUUAUGAUUAUUGAUUACAUAUAUUGUUAUUGAUUUAUUGUUCAGUCCUAUGUUGUGUGCUUAGUAGUUAAAAUUUGAUGGACACCUCAAAGCCGAGCCUUCAGAUGAAACCAGUUAAGUUUUUUUGAUUGUUUAAAAACACAUUUAACACGCAAAGACUGACAGAAAUCAGCUUUUUUAGGGGGAUGUCAAAUCAUUCAUGCAAUAAUUAAUUUUAGUCGAUUAUCUGGAUGUUUUCUAAGCAUGUAAACAGAUUUUUCAUUUCGUGUUUGGACUGAUUCUGAAUUUUGUGAUCAAUAGUCAUAUAUCAAUGAUAUGUGACGUUCUGACAAUAUCAAUAGUAUUUUAGAAAACAAAAAGCACAUGGAUGGUUUCAUAAUAAUGACGGAAGAGAUAAGCAUCAAAUUUCUGCUUUAAGGUGAGUCCGAAGGGGAAAGUGUUUUCCAGUGUUGUUGGACUGUAAGAGUGGAUGGGAACCAAACAGGAAGAGGAAGAGGAAGGGAGAAACUGUGGUCGAGAUAAACAAAAGGAACUACACUUCAGCAGCCAGAGAACAGGUUAAAGUUUCCACAAAUAAGAGGGGGGGAAAUGGAGACAGGGACAAAAGGUCGGCAUAAAUGUGAAAUCUUUUCGUCCAUUUGUUCUGCAGGCUGAAGGAGUCUGGGAAGAGUCUUCAAGCUCACAUGUGGCGUCCAAAUGGGCCGAUCCUAAACGCUCUGCUAUACGCAGCCAAAAGUAUUCCAACUAUUUAUUGCAUUAGUUCAGGCAUCUGAGCUGAGGACUCUUUAAAUACUUCUGUAAAACCUUAAAAACUUUAACGGGAGGCUUCGAGGUCUGUUUCACACACGUAGGUUUUGGGUGAAAACUUGGAUUAAGAGUCUUUAUGAGCCAUAAAAGAAACAAACUCACACAGCGAGAGGAAUCAGAUUUUCCCUUCAGAGGAAAUUCACCAUCGCUUGUGCUGGGAGGAAGUGGGCGGUUGCUGUGACUACAACAGAGACGGGGAGAAACACCAGUGGUUUCCAUGGAAACCAGGGAUUUUCCCCCAAGUAAGUUAUCGAUACAUUCAUUACUUUGGAGUACUACCGCAUGUAUUUUUGUUUUUGUUUCUGAUUUAACUUUAAAAAUUUAAUUUAAGGAGUUUGAAAACUCAGCAAUAUUGAAAACUAGCUAGCAACUGCAAAUUAUUUGCGCUAAAGGGUCCCACAUGUCUAAAAUCAAAAGUCACAAACCACAACACUUGGCAAAAAAAAGAAAAAACAUAUUUGGAGACUUCUGCUUUUCUAAGUACCUACUAUAGUCACUUUUCAGCUUCUUGUAGCGGUUAGCUUUCCCUCAAUCCCAGUGCUAUAGAGUUGAUUUCAACUAUGACUUCUUUUUUUUUUUUGUCUGUUUUUUUUUAACACUUUAACAAUUGAAAUUAAAGCAAUAGUAAACAGGAGCUUUAAACCACCUAGCUAUAUGACAUUGCUAACGCUAGCUUCAAUGUUAAUUCCUGUUUUUCAAUUGAAUAUUAUUUUGUAAGGAAAAUAAUAUUAAACUUCACUCCUAUGGAAAUUAUAAAAGUCUCCCAAGUAUUUAUAGUUUUGUCUUUUCCGGGUUGUUUAAUUACAUGUUUGGACCAGAAAUUAAAAAUCACUGAAUGUUUAAUUUGUAACAAGUCUAGAUUUUCACUCCCAUUAAAUAUGUGAAGGUUUAAUACUUUGAAAAUAUAAGAACUUUAGUGACAUGACAAUCAGUGAACAUACACAUAUUUUAUUCCUCUUCUCUGUGUCUUUAUGGUGUUUCAAUGAACUGUUGACACGUUUGGACCUUGAUGUAGGUACAAAAUAUAAAAGAAAAGUAUAAAAUAUUUACAUAAAUGUCUUUCAAUUAUUCAAAAAUACUUGUUUCAAAGGGACUGUACAGUUUUAUUUGGCACUGCACAAGAUUUUCUUCUUACAAAGUGCUGUAAUUAAUCUGUCUGAUUAACCAAAAAGCAUAAAACCUGAACAAAUUUAAUAUAUUUUGCUUUUAAAAAAAAAUCAUCUGAAGUAAAUAUUAUAGCUCAAAGUGUCUCAAAAUAGUUUCAGUUUCACAAUAUCUCAAAGUGUUUAAAACUUUGCUCAAGACAUGAAAUACAGAAAUUUUGACACAUAAAAACUUAAAAGCCUAAAAUCUAAAACAAAAAUCUAAAUAAGCAAAAUAAGAGAAUCAGGAUGGGGUGAGAUACCAAAGAAACGAGCAAUAUAAAUUCAACAAAUAUCACACAUUAAAUCCCCCAAAACAGCAUAAAAUUACAAAUAACACAGAUUUUCUUUUAAGUCAAGCACUCACAACAUAAAGCAGUCAAACUCUACGUCCGCUACCAGGUGCAGCAUGAAAUGUCUUAAAAUACUAGAAACAUCUUAAACAGUGAUGGCCGAAAAACAUUUUUCUCGUCCCAAGCCAACACUGUAGUGGGCCGAACAUUUCUCUUUUAGAGUAAAACAAAGAUUAAAAGAGAACUUGCAGACAUGUGGGUUGUUUAUACUAAACUGGGAACACUAUGACACACACAUUCACAUGUCUGUGAUCUUUUCUACCUUUUUAUAGGACCUCUGCUGACAUCAUGCAGUCCCAU